GACGAACGCUGGCGGCGUGCUUAACACAUGCAAGUCGAACGGAAAGGCCCUGCUUUUGUGGGGUGCUCGAGUGGCGACCGGGUGAGUAAAACGUGGGUAACCUGCCCUUGCCUUUGGGAUAACUUCAGGAAACUGGGGCUAAUACCGGAUAGGAGCUCCUGCGGCAGGGUGGGGGUUGGAAAGUUUCGGCGGUUGGGGAUGGACUCGCGGCUUAUCAGCUUGUUGGUGGGGUAGUGGCUUACCAAGGCUUUGACGGGUAGCCGGCCUGAGAGGGUGACCGGCCACAUUGGGACUGAGAUACGGCCCAGACUCCUACGGGAGGCAGCAGUGGGGAAUAUUGCACAAUGGGCGGAAGCCUGAUGCAGCAACGCCGCGUGCGGGAUGACGGCCUUCGGGUUGUAAACCGCUUUCGCCUGUGACGAAGCGUGAGUGACGGUAAUGGGUAAAGAAGCACCGGCUAACUACGUG
This 468-nucleotide ribosomal RNA is filed under the name uncultured bacterium. RNAcentral's name for it is "partial 16S ribosomal RNA". It matches the Rfam family "Bacterial small subunit ribosomal RNA", at positions 28 to 507 of the family's 1533-position model. The record is from RNAcentral.